AGUGAACGCUGGCGGUAGGCCUAACACAUGCAAGUCGAACGGCAGCACAGUAAGAGCUUGCUCUUACGGGUGGCGAGUGGCGGACGGGUGAGGAAUACAUCGGAAUCUACUUUUUCGUGGGGGAUAACGUAGGGAAACUUACGCUAAUACCGCAUACGACCUACGGGUGAAAGCAGGGGAUCUUCGGACCUUGCGCGAUUGAAUGAGCCGAUGUCGGAUUCGCUAGUUGGCGGGGUAAAGGCCCACCAAGGCGACGAUCCGUAGCGGGUCUGAGCGGAUGGUCAGCCAGACUGGAACUGAGACAGGGUCCAGACUCCUACGGGAGGCAGCAGUGGGGAAUAUUGGACGAUGGGCGCGAGCCUGAUCCAGCCAUACCGCGUGGGUGAAGAAGGCCUUCGGGUUGGAGAGCCCUUUUGUUGGGAAAGAAAAGCAGCAGGUUAAUACCCCGCUGUUCUGACGGUACCCAAAGAAUAAGCACCGGCUAACUUCGUG
RNAcentral lists this ribosomal RNA (492 nucleotides) under uncultured bacterium. RNAcentral's name for it is "partial 16S ribosomal RNA". It matches the Rfam family "Bacterial small subunit ribosomal RNA", at positions 29 to 507 of the family's 1533-position model. The record is from RNAcentral.